GGGCGCGGUUUGGAGUACCCGCUGCAGGCAAAUUUACUCUAUUCCCGUCCUUCAGGAUGGCGUAGCGUUCGUGUUGAAGGAUCCACUGCGGACAGCCUCAGUUCGUGCCUCUCAGACUCGUCGCGUCGCCUCUCGGACUCCCAUCCCUUUCUUUCUGCACUCGUUUCCGUCGCCUCUGUUCGUCACGUCGCGUCGGGCGGCCACCGCCAGGCGGCACCCGACGCCCGGCUCCCCGCCUCCCCAACCAGCCAACGCAUAAACCGCCGCGCCGCCACCGCCGGUACCAUUCCAAUUCCAACCCUCGCCCACUCCACGCCGCAGCACGCGCUCCUCCGCCGCCCCCACCGAUCGAGCCGCGACAUCGACCCGGAGGCGGAUGCCCCGUCGCCGUCGGCAUGUCCCUCCGCUUGAGCGCCGCACGCGACCGAUGCUUGGAGCUGCAGCGCGCCAUCGCCAGCCGCGUCCGCUCGGGAAGCCUCGGCCUCGAUGACGCCGUCAAGCUGUUCGACGAAUUGCUCCUUGUCGCCAGGCCCGCCUCAGUUCGCGCCUUCAAUCAGCUCCUCACCGCCGUCUCUCGCUCCCAGGGAAGGGGCUCCUCGACCUCCGCACUCGUCGUCUCCCUCUUCAACCGGAUGACCCGUGCCUCCCCGAACAAGGUGGCUCCCGAUGGGUUCACCUACAGCAUCCUCGUCAAUUGCUUCUGCCGCAUGGGACGCCUGGAGCUUGGUCUCGCCUCAUUUGGCCUCGUCCUCAAGGCGGGCUGGAGGGUGGGCACAGUCAUCACUCCGCUUCUCAAAGGUCUCUGUGACGCAAAGAGGGUGGAUGAGGCCAUGAAGAUAUUGAGCCAACGAAUGCCUGAGUUUGGCUGCCCACCAAAUGUUGUGUCGUACACCACCGUCAUCAAUGGCUUAUUUAGAGAUGGCCAUGUGGAUAGAGCUUACAGCCUAUUUCGUGAAAUGGAUAACCGGGGGAUUUUUCCGACUAUUGUGACCUACACCGCAGUCAUUGAUGGCCUGUGCAAAGCUCAAGAAGUUAACAGGGCCGAGGGUGUCCUUCAACAGAUGAUUAAUAAAGGUGUCAAGCCAAAUAUUCGAACAUAUACUUGUCUGAUCCAUGGAUAUUGCUCUUCAGGACAGGGGAAAGAGGUGGUUCGAAUGCUCAAAGAAAUGUCCGCACAUGGUCAUAAACCAGAUGUUGUCAUUUGUAGUUUGCUGCUGGAUUACCAUUGCAAGAGUGGAAGAUGCAUAGAGGCUAGAAAGAUGUUUGAUUAUAUGAUUGAAAAGGGCAUAAAACCUAAUAUAACUACAUAUAACACUCUGCUUCAUGGGUAUGCUAUCAAAGGAGCUCUUUCUGAUGUGCAUGGUCUCUUGGAUUUGAUGACAGGAAAUGGUAUUUCACCUGAUCAUCACACCUUCAAUAUAGUUCUCUGUGCGUAUGCUAAAGGUGGUAUGAUAAAUGAGGCAAUGCAUAUAUUUGACCAAAUGAGGCAGCAAGGGUCGAGUCCUGACGCGGUCAGCUAUGGAACAUUAAUAGAUGCACUUUGUAAGUUGGGAAGAGUGGAUGAGGCUAUGCUUAAAUUCAAUCAGAUGAUCUAUGAAGGGGUGACUCCUAAUAUCGUUGUUUUUAACUCACUAGUUUAUGGACUGUGCACUGUUGACAAAUGGGAGAAGGCCGAGGAAUUAUUUUCUGAAAUGCUGAAUCAAGGGAUCCAUCCCAAUGUCACGUUUUUCACCACAAUAAUGCGUAACUUUUGCAAUAGAGGAUGGGUCACGGAAGCUCAAAGUCUUCUUGACUUGAUGGUACGUGUAGGUGUGAGGCCUAAUGUUAUCUCGUAUAAUACAUUAAUUGAUGGCUACUGCUUAGUUGGUAGAAUGAAGGAAGCUAUGAAAUUACUUGAUGAUAUGUUCCAAGUUGGUUUGAAACCAGAUGCCAUUUCUUAUAACACUUUGCUUCAUGGAUAUUGUAGAGCUGGCAGGAUAGAUGAUGCAGUUAGACUAUUCAGAGAAAUGUUAAGCACUGAAGUUAGGCCUGGAAUUGUCAGUUACAACACGGUACUUCAGGGUUUAUUUCAGUCUGGGAAGUUUUCUGAAGCAAAAGAACUCUAUCUCAAUAUGAUCAAAAGUGGAAUGCAGGUGGACAUUUACACGUGCAACAUAAUUCUGAAUGGUCUUUGCAAUAAUAACUGUGUUGAUCAAGCAUUUAAAAUAUUUCAGAGUCUAUGUUCUAAGGAUUUUCAACUUAACAUCAUUACCUUCAACAUUAUGAUUGAUGCUUUGCUAAAAAGUGGCAGAAAGGAAGAUGCUAUGGAUAUGUUCGCUGCUCUCUCAGCUCAUGGUUUAGUUCCGGAUGUUGGGAUCUAUCGCUUAAUGAUAGAAAAUCUCAUAAAAGAAGGGUUGCUAGAAGAGUUUGACAAUCUGUUUUUAGCAAUGGAAAAGAGUGGAUGCACUCCAGACUCAUCUAUGCUAAAUUCUCUUGUUAGGAGGCUGUUGCAUAAAGGUGAGAUAAAGAGGGCUGGGGCAUACCUCUCUAAAAUUGAUGAGAUGAACUUCUCACUUGAGGCAUCCACUACUUCCUUGCUAAUAUCAGUUUUCUCGAGGGAGGAAUAUCAGCACCAAAUGAUGUCCCUGCCUGAAAAGUAUCAUUUUCUUGUGGAUGUCGAGAAAUGAGGAUUAUUGCAGAGGAAUUGGAUUCUCAACUAUGAUGAGACAUCAGUAUGUGACCCCUAAAUUUGUUGGAUUGAUUGUCUCUCCAAUGCAGUUAUUAUUUGUGUCUCAAGCUCUAAUUUACCUGCCAUAUUAUGUGGUCUCCUUUAUUUAGAGAAAUGCUAUCAUAAGGCAGUGCACAUCAUGCAGCAGAGAAAUGUUUGGUGGCUGCAAAAUAGAGAAAAGGGAGAAGAGAACAUUAUAUAUCAGGAUUCUUCACUCUAGAGCCAAAGCCUUUAAUCUUUUUAUCCUCCAGAUUCUCCUCUAUGACAGCUUGUAGUGAGCAAGGUGUGGAAACCUGCAGAUUCAAGGAAUUUUUCAACAUAUAUUCCCCUCUACAGGCUUUUGCUAUAAAUAUAGGCCAACUGGGGAUGUGCACUUCAAAGUUCCAAACCUUCAUAGCUUACAAGGAGUACCAGAGCUCAGAAGCAUCAGUAUUCAGCACAUAGUGCAACUAUUGCAGAACGCGCAAGACAACACACAUUGAGCUAUUACGCAGCAGCUCUUCUGGCGGACGAAGCGGUAAGAGAGACGACUACGGGAGGACAUAUGUGGUGAGGCCAAAGGGAAGGCACCUAGCCACCAUUGUGUGGCUCCAUGGCCUAGGUGACAAUGGAGCAAGAGGCAAGUUUUGGAUAUUAAUAGUUCAAUUGAAACAUUGAAGAAAUCUUGGGCAUUGGAAGGAUGCUCUGUUCUGGUUAACAGAGGGCAUGGUGAUAAUGAAUGUUUCAUAUUGAACUUCGCAGUUCAUUGUUCUUAGGGUGUGUCUUUCCUUCGUUCCAUCCGUCUGCCGUCAGACAUCAACAAAGAUGAAUCUUAUGUAUUUGAGCUAGUUGACUCUUGUAUUGAAGAAAUUGGAGAGAAAAGUGUGGUGCAGGUCAUCACCGGCAUUAAUCCAACGAUGAAGUCAGCAAAAAUGCUUACUGAGAAAAGGCCCAACAUAUUUUGGACUCACUGUGCUGCAGAUUGCAUUGACUCGAUGUUUGAAGACAGCCACACAAGGCGCAAUCCCCCCUCCCCUCCUCCUCGGCUCCGGCUCCAAGUUCAAGCAUGGUGCCUCCUUCCGCGCCGACCCCACCGAGAGCCUUGCCCCCAAGCUGCGUGGCGCCAAUUCCACGCUUGCCUGCACCGACCUCGUCUCCCCGAGCUCACGGCCUUCUGUGCAGGGGAUGCCGCUGCACUCGCCGGCCUCGUAUUUGGACUCAAGCAGCGGCCGCGCAGCAGCAACUCGAUGCCGUGGCCUCCAACGUCCGCAACACCAUGCCCAGUCCCAACUGUACAAGAUUGAAGAUUCCAAGCUGCAGUGCAGUGCUAGCUGGUCUGAUCUACUUCCUGUUGCAUUGGUCCGGUUUCCAAGUCCAAGAAUCCAAGGUCCCAAGCUCUGAGAAUGUCAGAGGACAUGGCUUGGAACUGUGGAUAUUUUUCUAAUCCAAAUAACUGGGAUGUGCCCAAGCACAAGAUAUGCCGGUGCGGGAGGGAAAUCAGAGGGGGUUUGCAAUUUGUCUUGAGGCAAGUGUAUCUGUAUGACUUGGAAGCUGCAAGGCAUGGAACUCCAGAAGGUGGAGAACCCAAAUCUGCAUACGAGAGUUUUGGAGAGUUAUUAUCGACGAUGUCCGAUUUAAGCAAUUUUGUGGAGAAUUUUGGUUUCUGUGUGUAGCACUCAAUUUGAUUAAUACUAGUUGACAUGAACAGAUUUGGAAUAGAAUAAUUGUUGCUUUACGGUGUAUAUGAUUUUGGAUAUUGAAAUGCAAUAUUUUUUUUGUUCAAUAGAUAUGUUUCCUUGGCGGUUGGCAGCCAAUGAAACUCAUAUUAUUUGGUGAGUGAGGACAGUCAAGGAAAUUAAUUUACUUGGCCGUUAGCAGCACUCAAGGAAACUACUUUACUUGGCGACUAGUGACAGCCAAGCAAAACAAUUUGCUUGGCGGCUAUUGGCAGCCAUGGAAACUAAUUUGCUUGGCGGUUGAGACAUUUCCUUGGCGCUUUAGCCAUUUUUCCAUUUCCAUAGAUUUCUUGGCGGCCAAACUGCCAAGUAAAUAAUUCCUGGCGGUUGGCCGCCAAGUUAAGAAUCAUUUUCUUGGCGGUUUCAGUAGUUUCCUUGGCGGUAUUUGGCCGCCAAGGCAAUUCCUGUUUGGUGUAGUGAUUCCUUUGGUCAGGAAAACAAUUGUUAAGGCAAGGUUACUAACUGCUUUUAUUUAUGGCCGAACACAUUUGUUGGACAUGACACGCAAGUUCACCGGCCAAUGGGAUUUAGUUCAUGUUGGGAUUACUUAUUACACCACUUGUCUCUUGAACUUGAAGAGCCUUUAUGAUAAGAGGUUUGAGUUGAAGGCUAUGUUUAUCUCCAAAGAAUGGGAGGACAGCAAAUGGUCAAAUGGAUCUGUGGGCAAGAAAUUCUAUAAUCUAGUAGUUAGUAACGAGUUUUGGCAUGGGGUGCUAUAUACUAUAAACAGUUUUGAGCCACUAGUGGAUGUUCUCAGGAAGAUAGGCAGUGACAGCUCUAUGGGGUACAUAUAUGGUGAGCUUACAAAUGCAAAAAUGGAAAUUGCCUUGCGUUUUGAAAACAAUGAAGAGCACUAUUUGCCAAUAUGGGAUAAUAUAGAUUUUAGAUUAGAUGCUGCUCUCAGGACACUGCUGCACCUAGCUGGUUAUUAUCUGAAUCCAUUCUUCUACUAUCAGAACAAAGAUGGAAUUGAAAAUGCAGAAAUCUUCAGAGAUGCAUUUGUUGAGUGCACGCGCAAAAUGAUCCCAGAUUGUGAGUCAACUGGAUCUUUACAGAAGUGCUUCACAGAGUUUUGGGACGGUUCAUGCCAUCCGUUCUCAAAAAAAUCUCGAUCCAGUUUCUUGGUGGGAAUUACAUGGCGGUGCAGCAAAGGACUUGAGCAGAAUGGCACUAAGGUUGUUGAGGUUAACAUGUAGCUCACUGGCAUAUGAAGAAAGAUGUAUCGAGCAGCUGCAUAAAAAGAAGCCAUGUUGGAUUAAACGUAAGCAAUUCGAGGAUUCAAUGUUUGUGACGGUGAACAGAAGGAUACAAGGGAAAGCUCAAAUGAGAGAGAGACCCUGUACUUGCAUACCUUCCUGAUGAAGAUGAACCAUUUGACUGGCUGGAGGGCAUGUUCCGCUUUCAUGCGGAACAACUUGAAAAUGAUGGUUUACGUAUGGCACGGGCUAACAGUAGUGAGGAAGCAGGACUGUCUAAGCAAGCGAGGAAACUAUUGGACUAUGAUGAGUAUAGUUCAUCCGAGGAAGGGUGCGAGGAUGAUGAAGAACCUCCAAAGCGCUCCAUCAUUAAUAAGGCAUCAUCCAGUGCUUCAUGCUCAAAGCGAGCAAAGAGGCCACGGUCCAUCGAUGAGUGCGAGGGAAGUGAUGGAAACAUCAGCUACUAAGUUCUGGUGGUGAUGUACGGUCUGUUGACAUGUUUUCUGAUCCGUAAGCGCUCAUAGGAUGGAGUCCCUACUGACCUUGGACUUAUUGCUCACGUUGGACAGUUGACUGUAUACCCUGCAUUGGUCUGGAUGCUUUUGUCUGUAUCAUCAUGCAUGUGAUUUGUAGACAUCCAGUUUCACAUUGAGUGAGCUACUUAUUAUCUACUUUAUCGAGCAUGCUUAGUUGGUAA
Molecule: RNA transcript, 6315 nt
Organism: Panicum virgatum (switchgrass)
Lineage: Eukaryota; Viridiplantae; Streptophyta; Magnoliopsida; Poales; Poaceae
Gene name: protein Rf1, mitochondrial-like
Exons: 10
Source: RefSeq, a predicted model, not a curated record